UUGAUSUCAAAUCAGGUAGGACUACCCCGCUGAACUUAAGCAUAUCAAAUAAGCGGAGGAA
Molecule: ribosomal RNA, 61 nt
Filed under: Thelephora palmata
Lineage: Eukaryota; Fungi; Basidiomycota; Agaricomycetes; Thelephorales; Thelephoraceae
Description: partial 26S ribosomal RNA
Source: RNAcentral